This 497-nucleotide ribosomal RNA is filed under the name uncultured bacterium. Its description in RNAcentral is "partial 16S ribosomal RNA". It matches the Rfam family "Bacterial small subunit ribosomal RNA", at positions 28 to 507 of the family's 1533-position model. The record is from RNAcentral.
GAUGAACGCUGGCGGCGUGCCUAAUACAUGCAAGUCGAGCGAACAGACAAGGAGCUUGCUCCUCUGACGUUAGCGGCGGACGGGUGAGUAACACGUGGAUAACCUACUUAUAAGACUGGGAUAACUUCGGGAAACCGGAGCUAAUACCGGAUAAUAUAUUGAACCGCAUGGUUCAAUAGUGAAAGACGGUUUUGCUGUCACUUAUAGAUGGAUCCGCGCCGCAUUAGCUAGUUGGUAAGGUAACGGCUUACCAAGGCAACGAUGCGUAGCCGACCUGAGAGGGUGAUCGGCCACACUGGAACUGAGACACGGUCCAGACUCCUACGGGAGGCAGCAGUAGGGAAUCUUCCGCAAUGGGCGAAAGCCUGACGGAGCAACACCGCGUGAGUGAUGAAGGUCUUCGGAUCGUAAAGCUCUGUUAUUAGGGAAGAACAAAAGUGUGUGUAACUAUGCACGUCUUGACGGUACCUAAUCAGAAAGCCACGGCUAACUACGUG